CCUACGGGGAGCUGCAGUGGGGAAUAUUGGACAAUGGGCGAAAGCCUGAUCCAGCCAUGCCGCGUGUGUGAAGAAGGCCUUCGGGUUGUAAAGCACUUUCAGUGGGGAAGAAAGCCUUGGGGCUAAUACCCUCGAGGAAGGACAUCACCCACAGAAGAAGCACCGGCUAACUCCGUGCCAGCAGCCGCGGUAAUACGGAGGGUGCGAGCGUUAAUCGGAAUUACUGGGCGGAAAGCGCGCGUAGGCGGUCUGAUAAGCCGGUUGUGAAAGCCCCGGGCUCAACCUGGGAACGGCAUCCGGAACUGUCAGGCUAGAGUGCAGGAGAGGAAGGUAGAAUUCCCGGUGUAGCGGUGAAAUGCGUAGAGAUCGGGAGGAAUACCAGUGGCGAAGGCGGCCUUCUGGACUGACACUGACGCUGAGGUGCGAAAGCGUGGGUAGCAAACAGGAUUAGAUACCCUUGUAGUC
RNAcentral lists this ribosomal RNA (465 nucleotides) under Vreelandella stevensii. RNAcentral's name for it is "partial 16S ribosomal RNA". It matches the Rfam family "Bacterial small subunit ribosomal RNA", at positions 338 to 795 of the family's 1533-position model. Lineage: Bacteria; Pseudomonadati; Pseudomonadota; Gammaproteobacteria; Oceanospirillales; Halomonadaceae. The record is from RNAcentral.